GAGGCAUCAAUUCUGUGGAAAAUUAUAGUCUGAUAAUCCCUCUUCCUCAAUCAUAUAUCAUUGUACAUGCAAACAAUUACCUAGGCUUGUAAUAUCAAGGAAAACAAGGGGGUAAACAGUGUCCACAAUAUUCUCACGAACGCACCAACUAUUGAAAAAGACAUGCACAAAUUUUUCUCUUGUUUCCUCAUAUUUUCCUCUUCCUCCACGAAAGAAAAUUCAACAGACCCCACAACUUUUCUAGUAUUCCUCAAGUUAAAUACCUGAUCUCAACCUCAUAAUCCAAACUUCAGAAACAUUUUUCAAAAGCCAUAACCUUAUAUCCCUCUUAGCUAUGGUUCCAGCUCCCCAAAGUGAUUUGCCUCUUAAUGAGAAUGACUCACAAGAGAUGGUACUAUAUGAAGUCCUCAAUGAAGCUAGUGCCCUUACCAUCCCAUAUUUACCCCAAAGAAACCAGCUUAUUCCCAAAAAUGUCCUUCGUCCAUCACAGACCAUAGGAAAGAAGUACAGAGGCGUAAGACGGAGACCAUGGGGAAAAUACGCUGCUGAAAUUCGUGAUUCGGCUAAACAUGGUGCUAGAGUAUGGCUAGGCACUUUUGAAACAGCCGAAGAAGCUGCCAUAGCUUAUGAUAGAGCAGCCUUUAGAAUGCGUGGUGCUAAGGCACUCCUCAAUUUUCCGUCUGAAGUUGUCACAGCCUCUGCUUCAGUAGAUAGAUUACUACUACGUCCCCCAAGUUUGAGCUCAGAUAGUUACACUAAUUCCAACAAUUCAAAUUCUAGUUCAAAUGAAGUUUCAAGUGGGUUGAUUA
RNAcentral lists this long non-coding RNA (809 nucleotides) under Nicotiana tabacum (common tobacco). RNAcentral describes it as "long non-coding RNA (NTAB_LNC015461)". The record is from RNAcentral. Lineage: Eukaryota; Viridiplantae; Streptophyta; Magnoliopsida; Solanales; Solanaceae.